This 504-nucleotide ribosomal RNA is filed under the name uncultured bacterium. Its description in RNAcentral is "bacterial SSU rRNA". It matches the Rfam family "Bacterial small subunit ribosomal RNA", at positions 9 to 526 of the family's 1533-position model. The record is from RNAcentral.
GAGUUUGAUCCUGGCUCAGGACGAACGCUGGCGGCGCGCCUAACACAUGCAAGUCGAACGAGCGAGAGAGAGCUUGCUUUCUCGAGCGAGUGGCGAACGGGUGAGUAACGCGUGAGUAACCUGCCCUGGAGUGGGGGACAACAGUUGGAAACGACUGCUAAUACCGCAUAAGCCCACGGUACCGCAUGAUACUGAGGGAAAAGGAUUUAUUCGCUUUAGGAUGGACUCGCGUCCAAUUAGCUAGUUGGUGAGGUAACGGCCCACCAAGGCGACGAUCCAUAGCCGGCCUGAGAGGGUGAACGGCCACAUUGGGACUGAGACACGGCCCAGACUCCUACGGGAGGCAGCAGUGGGGAAUAUUGCACAAUGGGGGAAACCCUGAUGCAGCGACGCCGCGUGAAGGAAGAAGUAUCUCGGUAUGUAAACUUCUAUCAGCAGGGAAGAAAAUGACGGUACCUGACUAAGAAGCCCCGGCUAACUACGUGCCAGCCGCCGCGGUAAUAC